AUUGAACGCUGGCGGCAGGCCUAACACAUGCAAGUCGAGCGGAUGAAGGGAGCUUGCUCCUGGAUUCAGCGGCGGACGGGUGAGUAAUGCCUAGGAAUCUGCCUGGUAGUGGGGGAUAACGUCCGGAAACGGGCGCUAAUACCGCAUACGUCCUGAGGGAGAAAGUGGGGGAUCUUCGGACCUCACGCUAUCAGAUGAGCCUAGGUCGGAUUAGCUAGUUGGUGGGGUAAAGGCCUACCAAGGCGACGAUCCGUAACUGGUCUGAGAGGAUGAUCAGUCACACUGGAACUGAGACACGGUCCAGACUCCUACGGGAGGCAGCAGUGGGGAAUAUUGGACAAAGGGCGAAAGCCUGAUCCAGCCAUGCCGCGUGUGUGAAGAAGGUCUUCGGAUUGUAAAGCACUUUAAGUUGGGAGGAAGGGCAGUAAGUUAAUACCUUGCUGUUUUGACGUCACCAACAGAAUAAGCACCGGCUAACUUCGUG
Molecule: ribosomal RNA, 484 nt
Filed under: uncultured bacterium
Lineage: Bacteria
Description: partial 16S ribosomal RNA
Rfam family: Bacterial small subunit ribosomal RNA
Source: RNAcentral